CACGUAGGGCGCAAGCGUUGUCCGGAAUUAUUGGGCGUAAAGCGCGUGUAGGCGGCUAGGUAGGUCCGCUGUGAAAACUUGAGGCUCAACCUCAAGAGGUCGGUGGAAACCAUCUAGCUAGAGUCCGGAAGAGGAGAAUGGAAUUCCUGGUGUAGCGGUGAAAUGCGCAGAUAUCAGGAAGAACACCCGUGGCGAAGGCGGUUCUCUGGGACGGUACUGACGCUGAGACGCGAAAGCGUGGGGAGCGAACAGG
Molecule: ribosomal RNA, 253 nt
Filed under: uncultured bacterium
Lineage: Bacteria
Description: partial 16S ribosomal RNA
Rfam family: Bacterial small subunit ribosomal RNA
Source: RNAcentral